GGGACACGUGGUAUCCUGUCUGAAUAUGGGGGGACCAUCCUCCAAGGCUAAAUACUCCUGACUGACCGAUAGUGAACCAGUACCGUGAGGGAAAGGCGAAAAGAACCCCGGCGAGGGGAGUGAAAAAGAACCUGAAACCGUGUACGUACAAGCAGUGGGAGCACGCUUAGGCGUGUGACUGCGUACCUUUUGUAUAAUGGGUCAGCGACUUAUAUUCUGUAGCAAGGUUAACCGAAUAGGGGAGCCGAAGGGAAACCGAGUCUUAACUGGGCGUUAAGUUGCAGGGUAUAGACCCGAAACCCGGUGAUCUAGCCAUGGGCAGGUUGAAGGUUGGGUAACACUAACUGGAGGACCGAACCGACUAAUGUUGAAAAAUUAGCGGAUGACUUGUGGCUGGGGGUGAAAGGCCAAUCAAACCGGGAGAUAGCUGGUUCUCCCCGAAAGCUAUUUAGGUAGCGCCUCGUGAAUUCAUCUCCGGGGGUAGAGCACUGUUUCGGCAAGGGGGUCAUCCCGACUUACCAACCCGAUGCAAACUGCGAAUACCGGAGA
This 549-nucleotide ribosomal RNA is filed under the name Escherichia coli. RNAcentral describes it as "partial 23S ribosomal RNA". It matches the Rfam family "Bacterial large subunit ribosomal RNA", at positions 419 to 969 of the family's 2925-position model. The record is from RNAcentral. Lineage: Bacteria; Pseudomonadati; Pseudomonadota; Gammaproteobacteria; Enterobacterales; Enterobacteriaceae.